UUAAAGCAACACUAUGUAGUUUCCAUGUAAAAAUGACUUACAGCUCCCCCAUGUGGUUGAAAAGCGCAACAGUGCCUGGUAUCAGACACUCUUCUGCAGGCAGGGGGAGGGGCGGGGCUGUGUUUCCUACCCUCCACCGCCACUUUCAGAGUGUGCUUGUAGCAGCUAGGAGGCUGCUCAGGUUGCAGCAACAGUACAGUUUGUCCAGUUAAAAGUUGUUCUAUCACUGAAAUAAUUUUAGAGAAAUGAUUUAAAGGUAAAAAAACUACAUAGUGUUGCUUUAAUGUAAUAUGGUCUGUGGCGUCUAUGAAGGUAAUAUAUAUCUCAUUAACCUUAUGGAGCAAUCCUGCUGUGUAGUUUGCAGUCAUAUCAUGCAGACAAAGCACUGGAUGACGUGACAGACAACUGGUUGUCCAGUGCGAUUCCGUUCACACGCCACAGCUUUUCUGUAAAUACGGUUGGGAAAUCCGAAAAUUUACGAGUGUGAGGUCGGUUAUAGAAUGCGGUUGUAUUAUGGUACCGUGUGAACGCAGCCUAUGUUUCUCUGCAGGUGUCUGGGAUAAUGAAGACAAUUUGGGUUGUCGUGUUACACGCCAGGUGAACAACAUCAGAGUGCGUCAGUCAGAGAUCCUAAAGAAGGACUCCAUAUGUUUAGUCGAGACAGUAGGCCGUACAUCUCUUACGACGAGGAUAUUUGUGUCAAGAUGUUCCCGAUACUGUCAAGGACAUUUAAGCAAUUAUGUGAGCUGCAGUCUGGAUCCUGCCUCUGUCAGAUGACCUAACACAAAUGGAAAGAUGACACCGGCCCUUGCAAGGACUUUAGACGAUGCCAGCACUGAACUACAUACAGUGCAGGGGUGACCAAACUUUUGCAUGCCACUGUACUGAUAUAUACUAUACAAAUAAUAUUUUCAGCAGUCCGUGUUAAAUUUUUUAUUUCAAGGUGAUCCUAAAGCAACAAAGAGGAACCUUGGACAGGAAGAAGUGGUGUCCAGAUGUUUAAAAGGCGGUGUUGACAUAGUUUGGGACAGGAAACAAAGGCAACAAAGAGGAACCUCUAAGCUUUAAAGGCGCUGCUUGCAGAGACAAGUGUAGGAAACAAAGACAGAAGACCUGACAAGAAUAUUUUAUGAUUACAUAUUUUUUUUGCUGUGUACAUGCACAUUAUUAUUUACAAUAUAUUUCUAAGAUACAUAAAUAUGUGACCUUUUAUAUGAAAUCCAGGCUACUGUCUUAGCAUCUAAUUGCAUCUAAAGUUUGAAUUUACUGAUUUAACAUUGAGUUCAGUCUUUGGCAUGACUCAGUCAAUAUUGAAGAUGUCAAGUUUAUAUUUUUACAGAAUGUUUUCUGUAUUGUGUAGGAUGAUUUUAUGUAGAAAACAGUAAAUCACAAAGAAAUACUUUGCUGGGUUUUCACAGGCCGUGUCCCAUUUGUACAACAUAUGUGGAUUAUCUUGAGACUUAAACUUCUGAAAUCAAAACUGUAAUAUUUUAUCAUUUCAAAUGCAGCCAGCCUUUGCCUAGAAUUUGAAAUGUAUACCCUUGGGUUUUUUCAGUAUUUUUUUAAAAUCUCACCCUGAGAUAUUUUUAAACAAUGUUCAAGACUUUUCCAUGUAUUAUGGGCCUGAAUCACUUGUUUAUUUGAUCAUUUUGUCCAAGUAAUAUGAAAAAAAAUCUAUUCAAUUUUAGUUUUGAUGGCACUAUAUUUAUGUCCACAAACGUACUUGAUUUUUUUUCUUUACCUUAAAAGUAAACCAUUUUGAACAGUAUAAGAAAUAUUUUGUUUAAGUGUUUCAAAACAUUUAAAACAGUAGUAGUAUAGCAGUGUAUAAUAGUUACAGAAUAUGUAAUUUAUAUUAA
Paramisgurnus dabryanus is the source of this 1859-nucleotide long non-coding RNA. RefSeq lists it as uncharacterized. The record is from RefSeq and is a predicted model, not a curated record. Lineage: Eukaryota; Metazoa; Chordata; Actinopteri; Cypriniformes; Cobitidae.